AUAUCUGGGUCAACCCAAAGCCCAGAAAAGAGGCAGUCCACAAUGAGUCAGUAUCCAGGAAGUAGAGGCGGGAAUGGAAAAGGAAGAUUCCAAGAAUUUUCAAAAACACAAGAAAAGAGCUUUGGACUUCCACAGGCCAUGGACUGGGGAGAGGUAUAAGCCGAUAUAAAUCCAUCUUUUGGGGAAGAAGAGACGAGGACACAGAUACACAAAGAGAACCCAUCUGAAGACACAGGGAGAAGAUGGCCAUCUACAAGUGAAGAAGAGAGACCCCAGAAGAAAGGAACCAUGUAAACACCUUGAUCUUGGACUUGUAGCCUCCAGAACUGUGAGAAAUAAAUUUCUACUGUUUAAGCUA
Molecule: long non-coding RNA, 358 nt
Organism: Homo sapiens (human)
Lineage: Eukaryota; Metazoa; Chordata; Mammalia; Primates; Hominidae
Exons: 2
Source: RefSeq, a predicted model, not a curated record